UCACAAACUCCACGAGCGACUCCACACC
Molecule: small RNA, 28 nt
Filed under: Bombyx mori (domestic silkworm)
Lineage: Eukaryota; Metazoa; Arthropoda; Insecta; Lepidoptera; Bombycidae
Description: ovarian small RNA-1422
Source: RNAcentral